GACGAACGUUAGCGGCGCGCUUAACACAUGCAAGUCGAGCGAGAAAGGGCUUCGGCCCCGGUAAAGCGGCGCACGGGUGAGUAACACGUAGGUAAUUUGCCUCUAGGUGGUAGAUAACCUUCCGAAAGGAGGGCUAAUACAGCAUAAGACCACGGUUCCGAAAGGGAUUGGGGUCAAAGCCGGCCUCUUCACGAAAGCUGGUGCCAAGAGAUGAGCCUGCGGCCCAUCAGGUAGUUGGUAGGGUAAUGGCCUACCAAGCCGAAGACGGGUAGCUGGUCUGAGAGGAUGAUCAGCCACACUGGAACUGAGACACGGUCCAGACUCCUACGGGAGGCAGCAGUGGGGAAUCUUGCGCAAUGGGCGAAAGCCUGACGCAGCGACGCCGCGUGAGUGAUGAAGGCCUUCGGGUUGUAAAGCUCUGUGGAGGGGGACGGAAUAAGGGUUAGGCGUAAGUAUCAACCUGAUGACGGUACCCUUAGUCAAGCACCGGCU
This 492-nucleotide ribosomal RNA is filed under the name uncultured bacterium. RNAcentral describes it as "bacterial SSU rRNA". It matches the Rfam family "Bacterial small subunit ribosomal RNA", at positions 28 to 498 of the family's 1533-position model. The record is from RNAcentral.